GACAGAGGGUGCAAACGUUGUUCGGAAUUACUGGGCGUAAAGCGCGUGUAGGCGGCUAAGUGUGUCGGGCGUGAAAUCCCACGGCUCAACCGUGGAAGUGCACCCGAAACUACGUAGCUAGAGUCCUGGAGAGGAAGGUGGAAUGCUUGGUGUAGAGGUGAAAUUCGUAGAUAUCAAGCGGAACACCGGUGGCGAAGGCGGCCUUCUGGACAGUGACUGACGCUGAGACGCGAAAGCGUGGGGAGCGAACAGG
RNAcentral lists this ribosomal RNA (253 nucleotides) under uncultured bacterium. Its description in RNAcentral is "partial 16S ribosomal RNA". It matches the Rfam family "Bacterial small subunit ribosomal RNA", at positions 524 to 776 of the family's 1533-position model. The record is from RNAcentral.